GUUUACAAAAUGCUAACAACCGCCUAACAAAGGGUGAGUCUCCAGGACAUUGAACUGUGAGCUCUCGCAUAGAGAAAGUCAGCAGGUCCAGGGUGCACCACCCAACGCCAAACAUCUGGUGAUUUGAAGACAUCUGGGGCUUUUCUAUCAUGUAGACCAAACAUGAUUCAGUUACAAAUCAUUAAAUCCAUCUACAAAGGACACCAGGAAGACGUGAGAUCAUUCAUUCCUAUGAUACGUGUCAGGCACUCAUUCCGUGCCCAUCACUGAGAGAUGACGGAGAGCCACCAUGAUGCCCCCUGGGAGCUCUGUCAAGACCACAUGCUCCAAAGGGCAUGUGAGAAAAGUCACGCUUCAUAUCCUGAAUGGCAACAUAUUGUCCAACAAAGGCAAAGCGUUUAUUUGGGAUUCUUAAUAAAAGUAUAAGCAACUUCAACUGUA
Long non-coding RNA from Suricata suricatta (meerkat), 441 nucleotides. RefSeq lists it as uncharacterized. NCBI's taxonomy places the organism in Eukaryota, Metazoa, Chordata, Mammalia, Carnivora, Herpestidae. The record is from RefSeq and is a predicted model, not a curated record. The transcript has 2 exons.